Molecule: ribosomal RNA, 486 nt
Filed under: uncultured bacterium
Lineage: Bacteria
Description: partial 16S ribosomal RNA
Rfam family: Bacterial small subunit ribosomal RNA
Source: RNAcentral
AUUGAACGCUGGCGGCAUGCCUUACACAUGCGAGUCGAACGGCAGCACGGGUGCUUGCCCCUGGUGGCGAGUGGCGAACGGGUGAGUAAUACAUCGGAACAUGUCCUGUAGUGGGGGAUAGCCCGGCGAAAGCCGGAUUAAUACCGCAUACGAUCCACGGAUGAAAGCGGGGGACCUUCGGGCCUCGCGCUAUAGGGUUGGCCGAUGGCUGAUUAGCUAGUUGGUGGGGUAAAGGCCUACCAAGGCGACGAUCAGUAGCUGGUCUGAGAGGACGACCAGCCACACUGGGACUGAGACACGGCCCAGACUCCUACGGGAGGCAGCAGUGGGGAAUGUUGGACAAUGGGCGAAAGCCUGAUCCAGCAAUGCCGCGUGUGUGAAGAAGGCCUUCGGGUUGUAAAGCACUUUUGUCCGGAAAGAAAUCCUUGGCUCUAAUACAGUCGGGGGAUGACGGUACCGGAAGAAUAAGCACCGGCUAACUACGUG